This 253-nucleotide ribosomal RNA is filed under the name uncultured bacterium. RNAcentral's name for it is "partial 16S ribosomal RNA". It matches the Rfam family "Bacterial small subunit ribosomal RNA", at positions 524 to 776 of the family's 1533-position model. The record is from RNAcentral.
UACGAAGGGGGCUAGCGUUGUUCGGAAUUACUGGGCGUAAAGCGCACGUAGGCGGAUUUGUAAGUCAGGGGUGAAAUCCCGGGGCUCAACCUCGGAACUGCCUUUGAUACUGCAAGUCUCGAGUCCGAUAGAGGUGAGUGGAAUUCCUAGUGUAGAAGUGAAAUUCGUAGAUAUUAGAAAGAACACCAGUGGCGAAGGCGGCUCACUGGAUCGGUACUGACGCUGAGGUGCGAAAGCGUGGGGAGCAAACAGG